RNAcentral lists this ribosomal RNA (576 nucleotides) under Lobophora rosacea. RNAcentral's name for it is "LSU rRNA". It matches the Rfam family "Eukaryotic large subunit ribosomal RNA", at positions 84 to 658 of the family's 3401-position model. The record is from RNAcentral. Lineage: Eukaryota; Phaeophyceae; Dictyotales; Dictyotaceae.
UAACGGCGAGUGAAGCGGGAAGAGCUCAAGCUUGAAAUCCGGCGCCCCCGGGGGGUGCCGGAGUUGUAACCUACAGGUGCGUGUUCGCCCGCUGGUGGGGCUGCGGCUAAGUCCGAUUUGAAAAGGGCACCAAGGAGGGUGGCAGUCCCGUUCGUGCCGUGGUCCUGCCUGCGAUGUGGCCUCGCUUCCCAGGAGUCGAGUUGCUUGGGAUUGCAGCUCAAAGGGGGUGGUAAACUCCAUCCAAAGCUAAACACGUGUGGGAGACCGAUAGCGAACAAGUACCGUGAGGGAAAGAUGCAAAGAACUUUGAAAAGAGAGUCAAAGAGUGCCUGAAAUUGCUGAGAGGGAAGCGAAGGAAAGUAGUGUCGAUCGAGGGGAUCUUGCACACGGGGAACGGUCCCCUGGGGCCCUCCCCGUUAUCCCCCGCGCUGUCAGGGGCGGGUGUGGUUUAAGUCGGCGACUGCGGCAUCAUUAGUACAGGUGUUCCGAGGUAACAGCCGGACAAAUGCUGUGGGUCACUGAGCGUCCCGCCCGCGGCCGUCCCUGACGAAAUGUUUUUCUUUACCCCGUCUUGAA